CUACGGGUGGCUGCAGUGGGGAAUAUUGCACAAUGGAGGAAACUCUGAUGCAGCAACGCCGCGUGGAGGAUGACACUUUUCGGAGCGUAAACUCCUUUUAUAUAGGAAGAAGAUGACGGUACUAUAUGAAUAAGCGCCGGCUAACUCCGUGCCAGCAGCCGCGGUAAUACGGAGGGCGCAAGCGUUACUCGGAAUCACUGGGCGUAAAGAGCGUGUAGGCGGAUUAAUAAGUCAGAAGUGAAAUCCUAUAGCUUAACUAUAGAACUGCUUCUGAAACUCUUAAUCUAGAAUGUGGGAGAGGUAGAUGGAAUUUCUGGUGUAGGGGUAAAAUCCGUAGAGAUCAGAAGGAAUACCGAUUACGAAGGCGAUCUACUAGAACAUUAUUGACGCUGAGACGCGAAAGCGUGGGGAGCAAACAGGAUUAGAUACCCCGGUAGUC
RNAcentral lists this ribosomal RNA (439 nucleotides) under uncultured bacterium. RNAcentral's name for it is "partial 16S ribosomal RNA". It matches the Rfam family "Bacterial small subunit ribosomal RNA", at positions 339 to 795 of the family's 1533-position model. The record is from RNAcentral.